CCUACGGGAGGCAGCAGUGAGGAAUAUUGGUCAAUGGUCGGGAGCCUGAACCAGCCAAGCCGCGUGAGGGAUGAAGGUACAGAGUAUCGUAAACCUCUUUUGUCGGGGAGCAAAAGACGCCACGCGUGGCGUUACGAGCGUACCCGAAGAAAAAGCAUCGGCUAACUCCGUGCCAGCAGCCGCGGUAAUACGGGGGAUGCGAGCGUUAUCCGGAUUUAUUGGGUUUAAAGGGUGCGCGGGCGAAAGAUCAAGUCAGCGGUAAAAUUGAGAGGCUCAACCUCUUCGAGCCGUUGAAACUGGUUUUCUUGAGUGAGCGAGAGGUAUGCGGAAUGCGUGGUGUAGCGGUGAAAUGCAUAGAUAUCACGCAGAACUCCGAUUGUGAAGGCAGCAUACCGGCGCUCAACUGACGCUCAUGCACGAAAGUGUGGGUAUCGAACAGGAUUAGAUACCCGUGUAGUC
RNAcentral lists this ribosomal RNA (459 nucleotides) under uncultured bacterium. RNAcentral describes it as "partial 16S ribosomal RNA". It matches the Rfam family "Bacterial small subunit ribosomal RNA", at positions 338 to 795 of the family's 1533-position model. The record is from RNAcentral.